UGCUAAGGUAAUUAAAUUACCUUCGCACUGUUCAAAUGUUAUUUGAACACAGAAGAGCAAAAAAAUGGCAAUGGAAGCACCUGUUUCUGGAGAUUGCGAAGAAGGCUGCAACGCUGGUGUGAAUGCUUUGGUUCGGCUGCUUUCCGCUCUUUCUCCCGGGACGAAGAAGAUAAUUUCAAAGAUAAUGCUCCUCCUUGAGUACUGCACUCUUGUUCUCUCCUUCUUUCUAUGACUGUUAUCUUCCACGAACGAGAUUACAGGCGAGAGACGUGGUCCACGAUUGGAUCGAACCCGUUGCAGAUUUUCAGCCUAUUGAAUCGGGAUGGAGAAGACGAACACGGCUGUUCCACCAGCAACGGCGGCGUUUCGGCAGCAAGGGAUUCCACCAGCAACGGCAACGUUUCAGCAGCAAUGGACAUUUUCUUUUUGACCCCUGAACUUUGGAAAUUCGGCAAUUGGACCCCUAAUCAAUUAAAAAUUUCUUUUAAUUUUGCCCCUUUUGGAUUAAUUUCAAUUAAAUCCCUAAAUUGGUACACUGUUUACAAAACAGUCCUUAAUUCCUGGAUUGUUCAAUUUGGUUCUUAAUUAAUUCUUUUAAUUUUGCCCUUUUGGAUUAAUUUCAAUUAAAUCCCUGAAUUAUAACACUGUUUACAAAACAGUCCUUAAUUUCUGGAUUGUUCA
RNA transcript from Populus trichocarpa (black cottonwood), 681 nucleotides. RefSeq lists it as uncharacterized. The transcript has 3 exons. NCBI's taxonomy places the organism in Eukaryota, Viridiplantae, Streptophyta, Magnoliopsida, Malpighiales, Salicaceae. The record is from RefSeq and is a predicted model, not a curated record.